Molecule: transfer RNA, 75 nt
Filed under: Vicugna pacos (alpaca)
Lineage: Eukaryota; Metazoa; Chordata; Mammalia; Artiodactyla; Camelidae
Description: tRNA-Ala (AGC) (tRNA-Ala-AGC-423-1)
Rfam family: tRNA
About the family: Transfer RNA (tRNA) molecules are approximately 80 nucleotides in length.
Source: RNAcentral
GGAGAGGGUAGAGCUCAGUGGUAGAGUGCGUGCUUAGCAUGCACGAGGUCCUGGGUUCAAUCCCCAGUACCUCCA